UACGGAGGAUCCGAGCGUUAUCCGGAUUAUUGGGUUAAGGAGCGUAGGCGGGUUGUUGAAGUCAGUUGGUGAAAAGCUUUGCGGCUCAACCGUAAAAUUGCAGUUGAUAACUGGCAUCCUUGAGUACAGUAGAGGUAGGCGGGAAUUCGUGGGUGUAGCGGUUCGAAAAUGCUUAGAAUAGUCACGAAGGAACUCCGGAUU
Molecule: ribosomal RNA, 201 nt
Filed under: uncultured bacterium
Lineage: Bacteria
Description: partial 16S ribosomal RNA
Rfam family: Bacterial small subunit ribosomal RNA
Source: RNAcentral